Molecule: ribosomal RNA, 166 nt
Filed under: Glycine max (soybean)
Lineage: Eukaryota; Viridiplantae; Streptophyta; Magnoliopsida; Fabales; Fabaceae
Description: partial 16S ribosomal RNA
Rfam family: Bacterial small subunit ribosomal RNA
Source: RNAcentral
GAAUUCGUUCCCGGGCCUUGUACACACCGCCCGUCACACUAUGGGAGCUGGCCAUGCCGAAGUCGUUACCUUAACCGCAAGAGGGGGAUGCCGAAGGCAGGGCUAGUGACUGGAGUGAAGUCGUAACAAGGUAGCCGUACUGGAAGGUGCGGCUGGAUCACCUCCU